CUUCCCUUCAUCUCGUCACAUAGGCAUUUUCUCAUCUCACAUCAUCACAAGAAGAGAAAGGCUGGCUUCCAUCAGAGACUUCCCGAUUGGCCGUACAGUCAUUGCAGUGGCUGGCAUGGGUUUCCCUCAUGAUCAUGCUGGUUUUAGAAGAAUCUUGUCUAUAGCCAUAAGAAAUCUUGCUGAGAUUUUGAAGGGAAUUGCACUAUAAACAUCUUUACCACAUAGAGCCUUCCCAUCUAUGAACACAGAAUGCCUCUCCAUUUAUUUAGAUCUUUGAUUCUUUUCAUCUGUGCUUUGCAGUUUCCAGCAUAAAGCUUUUGUACAUAUUUUAUUGGAUUUACAUCUAGGUAUUCUGUUUUUGAGAGCAAAUGAUGUUGUAUUUUUAAU
This 387-nucleotide long non-coding RNA is filed under the name Mustela putorius furo (domestic ferret). RNAcentral's name for it is "lncRNA (ENSMPUG00000031967.1)". Lineage: Eukaryota; Metazoa; Chordata; Mammalia; Carnivora; Mustelidae. The record is from RNAcentral.